GUGUGAAUUGCAGAAUCCCGUGAACCAUCGAGUUUUUGAACGCAAGUUGCGCCCGAAGCCAUUAGGUCGAGGGCACGUCUGCCUGGGCGUCUCAC
Molecule: ribosomal RNA, 95 nt
Filed under: Cybianthus quelchii
Lineage: Eukaryota; Viridiplantae; Streptophyta; Magnoliopsida; Ericales; Primulaceae
Description: partial 5.8S ribosomal RNA
Rfam family: 5.8S ribosomal RNA
About the family: 5.8S ribosomal RNA (5.8S rRNA) is a component of the large subunit of the eukaryotic ribosome.
Source: RNAcentral